AUCGUUUAUGUUAAACUAUAAAUUUUGUGUGAAUUGCUACUCUCGUAAAUAUAUACUGAAUAAUACAUUGGAAUAUAGAAACGAUUUGGGUGAGCGGUCCAACUUUUCGCUGCAUUAUAAUAAGGAUAACUGCAAUAUAUUGGUUUCGUCAAUAUUCAUCGCUUGACCAAAAAAAAACUUUGUCAUUGAGUUGCACCACAAAAGGAAGAAAUGGAAAAAA
Molecule: non-coding RNA, 220 nt
Organism: Drosophila suzukii
Lineage: Eukaryota; Metazoa; Arthropoda; Insecta; Diptera; Drosophilidae
Source: RefSeq, a predicted model, not a curated record